GCUAACCAGCAGAGGAAAGUGAUGGCAGCUGGUGUUGGGGCUGGGGGCCUCCAGGCCAGGCUGAGGAGAGUCAGCUCCCUGACACCAUAGCUGGAGAGAACCUGGGUAGGGUCUGCUGGGAAAAGCCCCCAAUUCAGCGAUGACCGGCAGACCUCCUACUUGGGGUGAGAUGGGGAACUAGAGCAGGGCCCCAACCACAGUGAAAGAAAGUCUGGGACUCCUUCAUGGUGAACCACUUCCAAUCAGCCCCUCCUAAGCCUUUACUCAUCCCCAGAUGUUUACAGUUGUUUGCACAAGACUGGGGUGAGCUUCCUGGAAUCUACUAGAGCCAAGUUGCCUUCCCACCAUGUCCUUGGUCCUCCCCCAGUCACUCCACAGAGGACAAUCAGGGAUGAGUGUGUCUGUGAAGCCCAAGCCGUGCAGGCUCUCUGACAAGCCCCCAAACUUCCAAGGCCCAGGAGGCUCCCUGGAAUGGGGUGGGGGCAUCCUCUGACAACUCCUGCCCCACCCUCUUUGGAAAGCAGAACAAAACAGUGCUUCCAAAGGGAAAGAGAAACUGCUGGUGAGCAGC
Long non-coding RNA from Panthera uncia (snow leopard), 571 nucleotides. RefSeq lists it as uncharacterized. The record is from RefSeq and is a predicted model, not a curated record. Lineage: Eukaryota; Metazoa; Chordata; Mammalia; Carnivora; Felidae. The transcript is spliced from 2 exons.